RNAcentral lists this ribosomal RNA (468 nucleotides) under uncultured bacterium. RNAcentral's name for it is "partial 16S ribosomal RNA". It matches the Rfam family "Bacterial small subunit ribosomal RNA", at positions 28 to 507 of the family's 1533-position model. The record is from RNAcentral.
GACGAACGCUGGCGGCGUGCUUAACACAUGCAAGUCGAACGGAAAGGCCCUGCUUUUGUGGGGUGCUCGAGUGGCGAACGGGUGAGUAACACGUGAGUAACCUGCCCUUGACUUUGGGAUAACUUCAGGAAACUGGGGCUAAUACCGGAUAGGAGCUCCUGCUGCAUGGUGGGGGUUGGAAAGUUUCGGCGGUUGGGGAUGGACUCGCGGCUUAUCAGCUUGUUGGUGGGGUAGUGGCUUACCAAGGCUUUGACGGGUAGCCGGCCUGAGAGGGUGACCGGCCACAUUGGGACUAGAAUACGGCCCAGCCUCCUACGGGAGGCAACAGUGGGGAAUAUUGCACAAUGGACGGAAGCCUGAUGCAGCAACGCCGCGUGCGGGAUGACGGCCUUCGGGUUGUAAACCGCUUUCGCCUGUGACGAAGCGUGAGUGACGGUAAUGGGUAAAGAAGCACCGGCUAACUACGUG